AUUGAACGCUGGCGGCAGGCCUAACACAUGCAAGUCGAGCGGAGCGGCGGACGGGUGAGUAAUGCCUAGGAAUCUGCCUGGUAGUGGGGGAUAACGUCCGGAAACGGGCGCUAAUACCGCAUACUAUCAGAUGAGCCUAGGUCGGAUUAGCUAGUUGGUGGGGUAAAGGCCUACCAAGGCGACGAUCCGUAACUGGUCUGAGAGGAUGAUCAGUCACACUGGAACUGAGACACGGUCCAGACUCCUACGGGAGGCAGCAGUGGGGAAUAUUGGAAAAUGGGCGAAAGCCUGAUCCAGCCAUGCCGCGUGUGUGAAGAAGGUCUUCGGAUUGUAAAGCACUUUAAGUUGGGAGGCGUUACCUGCAGAAUAAGCACCGGCUAACUCUGUGCCAGCAGCCGCGGUAAUAC
Molecule: ribosomal RNA, 407 nt
Filed under: uncultured bacterium
Lineage: Bacteria
Description: partial 16S ribosomal RNA
Rfam family: Bacterial small subunit ribosomal RNA
Source: RNAcentral